AUAGAGACUCAGAGCUGCAUAUCAAUAAGCGGAGGAAAAGAAACUAACAAGGAUUCCCUUAGUAACGGCGAGUGAAGCGGGAAGAGCUCAAAUUUGAAAUCUUCAAGGUUUUACCUCGACGAAUUGUAGUUUAAAGAAGUGUUUUCUGUUGGAGUUUUGGUAAAAGUUCUUUGGAAUAGGACAUCAUAGAGGGUGAGAAUCCCGUAUUUGACCAUUAUUUCCAGCUGUGUGAUACACUUUCAAAGAGUCGGAUUGUUUGGGAAUGCAGUCCAAAAUGGGUGGUAAAUUUCAUCUAAAGCUAAAUAUUGGCGAGAGACCGAUAGCGAACAAGUACCGUGAGGGAAAGAUGAAAAGAACUUUGAAAAGAGAGUUAAACAGUACGUGAAAUUGUCAAAAGGGAAGCGUUUGACACCAGUGUUGUUUUUCCGAAAAUCAAUUAAGAAUGGCCGGAUUUUAAGUUUCAUGACCUUAAAAGCUUGUUUCUUAUUUUUCAUGUCUUUCUUAAUGCACUUUUCGGUUAACGAGUCAACAUCAAUUUCUUUUGUUGUGAAAGGUUAAGAGGAAGGUGGCUUUACUUUCGGGUAAAGUGUUUAUAGCCUUUUAACUCUGCAAUCGGAGAGAUUGAGGUCUGCAGCGUAGAUCCUUCGGGGUUAGAUACAGUUUGUGCUAAGUUAUAGCUUUUCAUAGACAACUUGUUGACUAUGUUAGUCUUGUAGAUUACUCGCUGAUGCUAUUUUACCUACGCUUAGGAUGUUGAUAGUCACAGCGUGUAC
RNAcentral lists this ribosomal RNA (773 nucleotides) under uncultured Neocallimastigales. Its description in RNAcentral is "partial large subunit ribosomal RNA". It matches the Rfam family "Eukaryotic large subunit ribosomal RNA", at positions 23 to 641 of the family's 3401-position model. Lineage: Eukaryota; Fungi; Neocallimastigomycota; Neocallimastigomycetes; Neocallimastigales. The record is from RNAcentral.